ACUAAGGUUCGAUUCGAGCGAAAGCGAGAGAACGUUGCCACAGGCAACGGCCCGAAGGGUGAGGAGCGAAGCGACGAAUAAUCCUUCCCCCACCACCA
This 98-nucleotide small RNA is filed under the name Escherichia coli. RNAcentral's name for it is "partial RtT sRNA". It matches the Rfam family "RtT RNA", at positions 35 to 130 of the family's 130-position model. Rfam says of the family: This family represents a bacterial cis-regulatory element known as RtT RNA. The exact function of RtT is unknown although it is thought that it may be involved in changing the cellular response in relation to amino acid starvation. Lineage: Bacteria; Pseudomonadati; Pseudomonadota; Gammaproteobacteria; Enterobacterales; Enterobacteriaceae. The record is from RNAcentral.